CUCCUGCUUCUGCAGCAGGCAUUCAGGCAGCGAGAGAAGGAGAGGCUGGAGAGGCAGAGCUUGAGGAAGCGGCAGAUAAGUUUAUUUUUUAACUUAAAAAGGAUCUUAUAACUAGGAGAUUUACUGGUUAGCCUAACGAAGAUUCUGCUUAGAAUUUUAAAGUAAUUUUAAUAGCUUUUAGAAGUAAAUAGGCUUAAAGUAGCUUGAGAAAGAGCAUAAACGUUUUGUUUGAAGAUGAAGCUUCUUUACGGAGUAAGAGCAAGGUUAAGUCUAAAAAUUAAGCCUCCGAAGCCUUUCGAUUUAGCCUUUAGUGAAAGGUAUAGCCUUAUAGACUAAUGUUCAACAUGAUUAAAAAGCCUAAACGUUUUUAAAAAGUAGGGCUGUAGGUGAUUAAAAUUAGAAGACGAUGGCUUAAGGUUAAAUGGAGGUGGUUAAAGUGAAGGACAUGACGCAAGAAAGAUCGCGUCGUGAAGUAUUUUAUAAAUACCGAAAAUAAGUAUUGGGGAUGGUAGGUUAAAUUUGAAGACUAGAAAUUUGAAGUGGAAAACUUAAGAAAUACAGGAAGGUGAAGAAAAGACAGAAGAUAGGAAAACUAGAAGAAUUUUGCCUUUGGAAGACAUGUUAAUUUAAGCUACAAGAUAGGCAGAAGAAACUUAGAAGAUAAUACGAAAAAUUUUGAAGGAAAGGUAUUGGAGCAACAAAAGGGCAAAGUAUUCAAACUUAGAAGAAAACUAGAAGAACAAGAUAGGAAACGGAGAAUAUUGUCAAGGAAAGGUAUUUAAGGCAGAAAAUGGAAAAACGAGCUAGAAUUGGACAAGAAAGAAGAUAGAGAAGUCGAAGUCAGAAAUACUGGAUAAAAUUAAUUAUUGUAGUCUUUUUUUAAAAAAAAGCCCAUCAAUUUUAACUUAAUGGUGGUGCAGAGGUUAAAAACGUUAAAAAAAAUUGGUGUUUAGAUCAGAGGCAAUUCUGAAGAUUAUUUGAAGCUAGUAGAGAAAUCAGUUAAAAUCGCAUGAAAAAGCAGCUGAAAGGAGUGGAGUCAUGUGAAGGCUGAGGCAGGAUGCUUUUGGAAGAGUUAGAAGAAUAAAAGGUUUCAAGUCCAGUAGCAUAGUUCACUUUGAAAAAUUUGAAGGACUUUGAAUUCAAGAUCAAGAAUGUCGCGUGGGACUUUGCGCUAAUACUUAAAAAAGAUCUUAAGGACUAGUAUUAAAUGGCAGCUGACCCAGGUGCUACGGAGAAGUGGAUUGAGAAUCUAGGAAGACAGCAGACAGGCAUCCAGGAGCCAGUGUUGGUGAAGCUAGGACUGAGGAGCCCGCGGCAGCUCGUGGUGAAGAUAGGAAGGAGUCCAGGAAGCAGUGCGGUUUGGUGGAGGAAGGCGCCCCUAACGUUGGUUGGUGAAGCUAGGAGAGGAGUCGAGGAAGGAGAUUCGAGUGCGGUUGUGCGAAGCUAGCGCCUUGGCUUGUCAACUACCGGAGGCGGCGAGCGGCGCGGUGAUAGAUAGCGGCCUCCUAGCCCAGCAUGGCAGUGUGCAGAGCUGCAGGGAGAGCGAGCGAGCGAGUGGUGUGGUCAAACCCGGUCGGCUGUGUGGUCCUUUCCUGUAACUUGUGUAUGGUAACUUUUUACUUUGUUUUCCUAAUGGUAUUGGGGGUGUUGCGUACUUUGUCAAGUGAUUCAUACGGGUGUAGGCCGAUUCCGGGUGUUGUAGGUUUUUCUUUUUCAGGCUUAACGUUCUGUCUGCGUCUUGUCUGAAGCAUUUGAGGGCAGACUGCCAAGGCACGGAGGAAUGGUAGAUGGCAAGUUUUUUAAAAACUUACUUGAGAGAAAACAUGAGUUUUAUAGAGCCUGCAGACAAUUUUAAGUAAAUCUGUAAGGACUUCGAUUUUAGUUGGAGUAAUGAAGUGUGUGUUUGGUGAAUAGAGUUUUUCCUCACCCUGAAUUAAUAGUUUUAUGAAUGUGGAGUCUGGGUGUUGUAACGGGGAGGGAGUUUUUUUGGGUGGGGUUGGGGCAAAACGUGUUUUGAGUUCUUUUCCUCUUAGGUCUGUCUAGAAUCCUAAAGGCAAAUGACUCAAGGUAACAGAAAAAAAGGAAAAUCCAGUAUCAGGAUAAUCAGAAAACCGCAGGUUUACAGUUUCUAGAGAACGCUAGAGCACCAGUAGCACUCACAGUUUGAGUCUGGAGGAGCUGUCCAUUGGAGAAUUGGCUGGUAGUUUCACUUUUUUCUUAAACCCCUUUAUCAGACUUCUAAAGCACUUUUAACUCUUGAACUGUUUCUACUCAGUAUUUGGGAAUGGUCUUAACAGGGAAGAGAGGGUGGGGGAGGAAAUCUUUUUUUUCUAAGAUUUUCCACAGAUGCUAUAGUACUAUUGACACACUGGGUUAGAGAAGGCGUGUACUGCUAUGCUGUUGGCACGAGCACCUGCAGGGAUUGGAGCUGCUUUUAUCCUUGGAAGAGUUUUUCCAGUUGAAGCUGAACAGUACAGCACAGUGCAGCUUUGAUUCAUACUCAGUCAACUCAGGAGAACUUCAGAAGAGCUUGGCUAGGCCAAAUGUUGAAGUUAAGUUUUCAAAUUUGGUUCACAAUACCAAAAGGGGAGGGGUAAGUUUUGGCAAAAAUUUAGUUGGCAGCUUGUUGUGGUUGGGAUGGGGGGGUUUAGGUAAUUGUUUAGUUUAUGAUUUCAGAUAAUUCCUUCCAGAGAAGUUAAAUACUUAGGAUGGAAAAACUAAAGAAAUCUCAACAUUCAAGUUGGCAAGUAACUUACAAUCUUGUAGUUUUUUGUUUCUUCCAAUCUUUGAAUUGGGCAUCGGGGAAAGAUUUCACUAGGUGUAUCACCAGUGCUUUAAUUCGGGCAAGGAGGCUCAACCGUAAUACGGUUCUUCCCCCGCCAAAUACAUAGAUGAGGCAUGAGGCGUGGGGAAGGAAAUUUUUGGACUGGGGUUGGUCUGGCCCACCCGAGUGACACUGAGUAGUUUACAGUCUUGGGAAAGUUUUAAAAACCAAGUUUUGGAUACAGAUGGUAGUGUUUGGUUCUCUUUUGGAAUUUUUUUCAGGUGAUUUAAUAUAACUUAAUACUACUGUAGGAACUUCAGAGCAAAGGAGGUGACUUAAUGACCCUGAAGGGAUUUCUUCUGAUGGUAGCUUUUAUAUUAUCAAACUUUUUUCAGAUAACAUCUGAGUCAUAACGAGCCUGGCAGUAUGACGAUGACGUAGUAUGCAGAGGGACAGCUCCUUGGUGAAUGAUAAGUAAAGGCAGAAAACAUUAUGUCAUGCCUCCACUGGGGAAUAAGAUAACCCUGAGAUCCUUACUACUGAUGAAAACAUUGGCUGCACAUGCAAAAAAAUUUAAACAAAAGAAUGAAAAUUUAAAAGUUACGGAAUCUACCAUUUUAAAGUUAAUGGUUUAUCAAGCUAUACCCACAAAAAUAAGAAAUUGAUGAACAACGAAGAGCACAUGUCCACCUCAAACCCUGCUUUUACAAAAGCAGAAUAAAGUGAAAUGAAACGAAAAUGAUUAUAUACUACAUUAAUCCUGGAGUAAAAGAAGCUGAAAUAAUUGAGUUGGGAUCAAGUGGAUUGAAAGAGGCUGUGCUGUGUGCCAAUCUUUCGUUUGCCUCAGACAGGUUCUCUUAUCAGAAGAGUUGCUUCAUUUCAUCUGGGAGCAGAAAACAGCAGGCAGCUGUUGACAGAUAAGUUUUAUCUUGCAUCGCAAUUUUGCAUGUUAGGGAUAAGUGCUUAAUUAUGAAUUGUGGAGAUUAUCAAACGUGGCACGUUUUCCUGACCCCAUCCUCGGGGAAUUUCAGGAUUGUGAGGAAUUUUUCCAUCCAUUUAAAAAAUACUUAGGAUGGUCUAGCCUUGUGCCAGUGGCCUUCCAUGUGAUGGGAUAUUACACCUCACUCAAGGCAUUUAUGUCUUGAAUUAAAAGCCUCUUCAAGUGACAAGUGCCUUAAUCACAAUGCUUAUGAAACAAAGGAAUUUUUGAUCAUUAAUCUCUGAAGACCCUAUGAAAGGGAUACCAUAAUGUGCUGUUAAGGUCAGAUGUGUUAAUUUUCCUUAAAAAAAUUGUUGCAAUGUAUUGUGCAUAAACUAUUAAAUCAUACAAGUUAAUAAAAUAUUACUAGACAAUGUAUGUUUUUAGAAAAGCUGUCUCCUUAUUUAAAUAAAAUGUUGUUUGUCUGUAGUUAGUGUUGGGGCAAUCUUGGGGGGUAUUCUUCUCUAAUCUUUCAGAAACUUUGUCUUCGAACACUUAAAUGGACAAGAGCAGGAAUUGAGCAGAAGACCGAAUUUAACUAACUUAAGGCAGGAAAGACAUUUUAUUCUUCAUAAAAUGAUGAUCAUUUAAAAUCCCAGACAUGGCAAUAGAGGCCCUCUUAAUAAGGAAUAAAUACUUCUUAGACAGGUGGGAGCUAAUGAGAGUAAAAGGUAACUCUUUUGUUUCCAGAAAGUCAGGAGUCAAUAUGACAGUGGCUAGAGUAAUAAUUUUCCCCAUUUCCAAAGUUUGCAUGUUAAAAGUGCUUUAACCAUCUCAUCAGGUGUUAAAGUGUAUCACACUGUGCAGCCAGGCAUCUGGGAAAGGGGGCAUGUGGGUGUUUUGAGAAUUUUCCUUUGCAGAGGCUUCAUUUCAUCCUUCAUGGAGCUGUUCAGGAUUUUGACUUGCAUAUGCCUGCUUGGCUCUGCUCUGCCUUCUGUUCUCCUAGUGAGUGUGAGAUCUUCCAGUGAGUUUAUCAGCGUACUCGAAACUUCUCCUGGAAUUGGAAGGGAAGGGAGGAGGGGACGGGGCUUACUUGUUUUAGUUUUUUUUACAGACUACAGAGAACGCAGUUGUCUUGACCUCAGGUCUGUCUGUCCUUUUGGCAAGUAAUAAAAACGCAGUACUGUUCUGAUCGCUGCUAUUAGAAUGCAUUAUGAAGCGACUGGAGUGUGAUCAAAAGUUGUGUCCCCCAAUGUCUGGAGUAGUGAUUGUUGAAAGGAAAAAUCCAUGAGUGGAGUGAUAACAGGCUGAGUGUUGAGGACAUUUCUGCAGCUUUUAAGUAACCUGUGUUUGUGAUGAAAGCCAAGUACCUUUUGCUGUUUUAGGUAAAAUGCUUUUUUUGUUAAUUUCUGGUAGGGGGGGUGGGGGGGGAACUGAAGCCUUUAGUCUUUUCCAGAUUCAACCUUUAAAGUCAGUGACAAGAAAUAAAUUCAGACAAGCAGCAGUCAUCAAGAACUGUACCUGGCAAGUGGAAAAAUACUUUUAACAGCUCAGUGGUCUUUCAGUGCAUUGUCUUGUGGGUUUUUCUCUUCCCCUCCCUUGGUCUCAAUUCUUACAUACAGGAACAUGAGAGAACAGCAACACGUAUUCGAAGGGCCAGAGAAGCCAGACCCAGUAAGGAAAAAAAUAGCCUAUUAAUUUUAAAUAAAAAACAACCAAAUAUUCCAGUUUAAAUGUGGGGAUUGGGAACCAAUAGUUCUUUCAGAUGGUACUCUGCAGACUAGAAGGAGCUUCCAGUUGAAUUCACCAGUGGACAAAAUGAGGACAACAGGUGAACAAGCUUUUUAUAUACUUACAAAGGCAGCUCAGUUACGAUGAAUCAGUGUGGAAAAGGCUUCAGCUUUAUGCUGGAGUAAUUAGCAUGUGAGCAAGUUGUGUAUUGGCCUGGGGGUGGAGGGGUGAGGUGGGCGCUAAGCCUCUUUUUAAGAUUUUUCAGGUACCCCUCACUAAAGGCACCGAAGGCUCAAAGUAGGACAUCCGGAGCCUUCCUGUGGCAAGAGACAGCUCUAAGGUCAAUGAGUCGUGUCAGCCUCAUAAUCCGGUCUUUAUUAGCAGUGAGGACUCGGCUCAGCGCCUUUCUGGAGUGAAGAAGGCUUAAGUAUCCAUGGGCUCACUGUAACAUGUAAAGCUGUUUUUAUAGCAGCUUUUAACAAAGCCCAGUCUCAAGUGAUGCUUGAAGGGGAGGGAAAGUGGGAAAGCGGGCAACCUGUUUUCCCUAGCUUUUCCAGAAGCCUGUUAAAAGCAAGGUCUCCCCACAAGCAACUUCUCUGCCACAUCGCCACCCCCUGCCUUUGGCCUAGCACUGACCUUUCACUCCUCACCUUGGUGCAGCCAGUAGCUUGGAUCCUUGUGGGCCUGGUGCAUUAUCUCUCAAGGUAACCGUGGUGCUGAGGUCCCGUGGGUUGCACUAUUAGAAGAGGCCACUGGUUUGCGUGUAAAUUAACAGACGAUUAAAACCACAACUAAAUAGCUCUAAGGUGUUUCAUGUAUGCACUUAUCCAGUGACUAAAACCAUCUUAAGCCAGUAAAACAGAUAACAUGUUUAAAAAUUGUAAUGCUGGGUGGGAACGUGUGACUGGUCAGCUGAGUGAGACAGGUUUGUAGUGGUGGCGAGGGCUGCUGGGUGGGAUUGCAAAAAUUCUCUGCUAAGACUUUUUCAGGUGAACGUUACAAAGCCUUGGCCAAGCUUAGCAUCUUAGCGGAAGCAGAUUCUCCAGUGCAGUGCUCUUCAGUAGGGUUGUAAAGGUUUUUCUUUUCCUGAGAAAACAAAAGCAUUUUGUUUUCUCAGGUUUUGCUUUUUGGCCUUUUCUAGCUUAAAAAAAAAAAAAGCAAAAGAUGCUGGUGGUUGGCACUCCUGGUUUCCAGGACGGGGUUCAAAUCCCUGCGGCGUCUUUGCUUGACCCAGUCUCUUCAGAACCUUGCCUGCUUCCUGGGAGGGUGCUGCUGAGCUUCAGAAGCAAGUGUUGGGGGUUACAGUAGUAUCUUUGGACUAUGUGGUGGUGGGGGUGGACCUGUUGCAGCUCUUGGAGGUUUAUAUGUAUUUAUGUGAACAUCUGACAGCUGUCCUGCCUUCGUGUAAUUCAUCAUGCAUCUGGUAUUUGGAGAAAUUUUAUCAAAACUUUGUGAAAUAAAAAAUUAAAAAGUUC
Chinchilla lanigera (long-tailed chinchilla) is the source of this 6889-nucleotide long non-coding RNA. RefSeq lists it as uncharacterized. Lineage: Eukaryota; Metazoa; Chordata; Mammalia; Rodentia; Chinchillidae. The transcript is spliced from 2 exons. The record is from RefSeq and is a predicted model, not a curated record.